AUGAAAAUCUUCAGAAAGCACCUUCAAGACCUGCACCUUUAUUUCAGGAAUAGUGCAACCCCCUCUGAAAGCAGCUGCCAGUGUCCUCCAAGUAGCGGACCUGAAAGUCACACUCAGGUCGAAGAGAAGGUGACCCAUCUGAAUAUCAACACCGAAGAAGAGAGGGGGAGACGUGGGGCAGCUCUUUCCACCCUCACCUUAUGGGGACGUUUUCAGAUGUCAUGGAGCCCUAGAUUGAUGGCCUCAUUCAGCACCUGGAGCUGAGGUUCCAGCAGCUUGGAAUUCUUGGUGAAUUUAGUGCUCUGGGACCACAAGGACCAAAAGGUGAUGAGAGUCGUGCCAUCUCAGACCUACAAAUGCUGGCCUAGCAGUUCCCACCCAUCAACGAGAAGGCACUUCUCCAAGAAUGGCAGAGCUUUAAAGUGCUCACAACAACUGGGAUUUUAAAAGUGAGUCAAUAACAUAACAUAUUAAGUUGUUUAUGUGAGAUCAAGCAUAUCUGUCAUUUACCAAUGUUCUCAUCCUUC
Molecule: long non-coding RNA, 527 nt
Filed under: Gadus morhua (Atlantic cod)
Lineage: Eukaryota; Metazoa; Chordata; Actinopteri; Gadiformes; Gadidae
Description: lncRNA (ENSGMOG00000025931.1)
Source: RNAcentral